This 253-nucleotide ribosomal RNA is filed under the name uncultured bacterium. Its description in RNAcentral is "partial 16S ribosomal RNA". It matches the Rfam family "Bacterial small subunit ribosomal RNA", at positions 524 to 776 of the family's 1533-position model. The record is from RNAcentral.
UACGUAGGGUGCGAGCGUUGCCCGGAUUUAUUGGGCGUAAAGGGCGCGUAGGCGGCCAUUCAAGUGACGGGUGAAAGCCCUCGGCUUAACCGAGGAACUGCCUGUCAGACUGGAUGGCUUGAGACCGGGAGAGGUGAGUGGAAUUCCCAGUGUAGCGGUGAAAUGCGUAGAUAUUGGGAGGAACACCAGUGGCGAAGGCGGCUCACUGGACCGGAACUGACGCUGAGGCGCGAAAGCGUGGGGAGCAAACAGG